Molecule: ribosomal RNA, 757 nt
Filed under: uncultured bacterium
Lineage: Bacteria
Description: bacterial SSU rRNA
Rfam family: Bacterial small subunit ribosomal RNA
Source: RNAcentral
AGAGUUUGAUCCUGGCUCAGAAUGAACGCUGGCGGCGUGCCUAACACAUGCAAGUCGGAUGUGCCCUGCAAGGGGUGCAUGGCGGACGGGUGAGUAACACGUGGGUAACCUGCCUCGAAAUGGGGGAUAGCCUUCCGAAAGGAAGAUUAAUACCGCAUAACCUCGGAUCUCCGCAUGGAGGACCGAGAAAAGGAGAAAUCCGUUUCGAGAUGGACCCGCGGCGCAUUAGCUAGUUGGUGAGGUAACGGCCCACCAAGGCGACGAUGCGUAGCCGACCUGAGAGGGUGAUCGGCCACAUUGGAACUGAGACACGGUCCAGACUCCUACGGGAGGCAGCAGUGGGGAAUAUUGCACAAUGGGCGAAAGCCUGAUGCAGCAACGCCGCGUGAGUGAUGAAGGCCUUCGGGUCGUAAAGCUCUUUGAUCAGGGACGAUAAUGACGGUACCUGAAAAACAAGCCACGGCUAACUACGUGCCAGCAGCCGCGGUAAUACGUAGGUGGCAAGCGUUGUCCGGAUUUACUGGGCGUAAAGAAUGCGUAGGUGGAUAUUUAAGUGGGAUGUGAAAUCCCCGGGCUCAACCCGGGAACUGCAUUCCAAACUGGAUAUCUGGAGUGCAGGAGAGGAAAGCGGAAUUCCUAGUGUAGCGGUGAAAUGCGUAGAUAUUAGGAGGAACACCAGUGGCGAAGGCGGCUUUCUGGACUGUAACUGACACUGAGGCAUGAAAGCGUGGGGAGCAAACAGGAUUAGAUACCCUGG